Long non-coding RNA from Ostrea edulis (European flat oyster), 1544 nucleotides. RefSeq lists it as uncharacterized. The transcript has 3 exons. NCBI's taxonomy places the organism in Eukaryota, Metazoa, Mollusca, Bivalvia, Ostreida, Ostreidae. The record is from RefSeq and is a predicted model, not a curated record.
UUUGCUUUUAAUAAGACUUCUUAUUAAAUAUUAUUUUUUUUCCAUGUUGCAUUCGCUGUUUUAUCUACUUCCUAGGGGCGAGAUCGAAAGUUCAAUGUCUGACAAAAAAACUAAAUUCACAUAGUUUUUACGUCCCCCCCCCCCCCUAUCCGCCCCCACAACGACCCCCUAAACUAGAUAUGAUGAGUGUUUAAACUAUAAUCGAUUAACAAGUAAGAACAAACGCGUAUAAAUAACUCUGUAUACCCUAUCUUCUGUUUAUUCACAAAUGAAAGUGUAGAUUAAAACUAUCAAAUGUUCAUUAAAAUGUAAUAUCGUCAUGUACUUUUAACAGUCACUUGUCUUUCUCCUUUUUCGACUAAUGUGUAAUCGAUGUCGGAUGAGAGAAACUUACAGAAGUUUUAACACCCCCCCCCCUAACUAUUUGAAUUUAGAUUUUUAUCCGAAAUCAAUCUGUUGAUCUCGCCCCUUACAGUUUUUUAUAUCAAAUUUCUUACUGUUUUUAACAUCUGAGAGAAUUAGGGUUUGAUUAAUUAUGUUAAUUAAAUAAUACUCUGUAUACUUUCUAUCAAAUCGUAUUUCUCUCCAUAUUGCGUUCAUUGCUUUAUUUAUUUCUUACAGUUUUAAUAGUUCAGCUAAUUAGGGUUUAAUUAGUAAUCUUAAUUAGUAAAAAAAAUCCCAACAAUUUUCUUUGCCUUCUUUAUCGUAAACACAUUUCUUUACGAAAUUAUUCGACGUACGACUUAUCUUUCUAUCUAUGAUCAGGGGCAAGUAACUCGUGGGUCACCUGCUUUUGAGGGAUACCAUCUAGUCAUAACCUAAAGGAGUACUCUUUAUAUAGUAAAUUCGACCCCAAGCGAUACAAUAGGGUCGGAAAGUCUCGUCAUGUGACUCGCGAGAAAUAACGUGAAAUCGUACUUCCGGGCAGUUGUCAGGAUGGCAUUAUCAAUAAUGUACUAGACUCGCUACGUUCAAAACCACAUAGAGCUUACUACAAAAAGCGAUAGAGCGGUGGAUAACAACUGGGUUGAGAAUAUGUGUUCUAGAUAGAGCUCUGAGUUAUUACAAAGGUUGUCCAAGCGUCAAUACGAGACAUUUUCCAACAAAAUAUAAAAGGGCAAACAACACAGCUGGAUAAAGCAUCUUAAGUCUGGACUUCGUAAAGCUAUGACAAUGAGAGAAAUGUAUCCACCCAGGCAAUCAGAAUAUAGAGUGCAGCUCAAAGAGAGACAUAGUUAUUCGGCAUCAAGUUUUCCAUCAGCUUUACCUCACAGGCACCACUUGUGAUUUCAUAGUUUGAACACCAAUGAACAUGGAAGUGAUUCUCAUCCUUUGAGAUGAAUUAUGGGAAUUAUACUUGGCAUACAUGAUUGAGUCUUUGUGCCCUCUCCGCAAUAACCAACUAGACAGACUUGUGAAAAUUCAAAUGUCUUCCAUUAGUUUUAUUUUGUUUUUGCUACAAUUGAUCAGUGUAAAGAUGUGCAUGAAUCACCAUUGUAACAAUUUCUUUGACUAGCAACCUUAAAUAAAUGUUCACUUUAUCA